CUAGCACUUUCACAGGUCCUUCCCCAGGCAGUGGGGCCAGGAUUUGGUAGCUGGUGCUAAGAGAAAAUCCUUGAUUACAUCCUUGCCCUGAUACUGUGCCAGUGGCAGCUGUCAAUGAAUGAGACAGAA
Talpa occidentalis (Iberian mole) is the source of this 129-nucleotide small nucleolar RNA. RefSeq annotates it as small nucleolar RNA SNORA30/SNORA37 family. The transcript has a single exon. Lineage: Eukaryota; Metazoa; Chordata; Mammalia; Eulipotyphla; Talpidae. The record is from RefSeq and is a predicted model, not a curated record.